RNAcentral lists this ribosomal RNA (425 nucleotides) under uncultured bacterium. RNAcentral describes it as "partial 16S ribosomal RNA". It matches the Rfam family "Bacterial small subunit ribosomal RNA", at positions 354 to 796 of the family's 1533-position model. The record is from RNAcentral.
GUGGGGAAUCUUGCGCAAUGGGCGAAAGCCUGACGCAGCCAUGCCGCGUGAAUGAUGAAGGUCUUAGGAUUGUAAAAUUCUUUCACCGGGGACGAUAAUGACGGUACCCGGAGAAGAAGCUCCGGCUAACUUCGUGCCAGCAGCCGCGGUAAUACGAAGGGGGCUAGCGUUGCUCGGAAUUACUGGGCGUAAAGGGCGCGUAGGCGGACAGCUUAGUCAGAGGUGAAAGCCCAGGGCUCAACCUUGGAAUUGCCUUUGAUACUGGCUGUCUUGAGUUUGGGAGAGGUGAGUGGAACUCCGAGUGUAGAGGUGAAAUUCGUAGAUAUUCGGAAGAACACCAGUGGCGAAGGCUACUCACUGGCCCAAUACUGACGCUGAGGCGCGAAAGCGUGGGGAGCAAACAGGAUUAGAUACCCCUGUAGUCC